GAUGAACGCUGGCGGCGUGCUUAACACAUGCAAGUCGAACGAUGACUUUUGUGCUUGCACAAAAUGAUUAGUGGCGAACGGGUGAGUAACACGUGAGUAACCUGCCCUUAACUUCGGGAUAAGCCUGGGAAACCGGGUCUAAUACCGGAUACGACGGACCGCCGCAUGGUGGUCCGUGGAAAGCUUUAUGCGGUUUUGGAUGGACUCGCGGCCUAUCAGCUUGUUGGUUGGGGUAACGGCCCACCAAGGCGACGACGGGUAGCCGGCCUGAGAGGGUGACCGGCCACACUGGGACUGAGACACGGUCCAGACUCCUACGGGAGGCAGCAGUGGGGAAUUUUGGACAAUGGGCGCAAGCCUGAUCCAGCAAUGCCGCGUGAGUGAAGAAGGCCUUCGGGUUGUAAAGCUCUUUUGUCAGGGAAGAAACGGGCCUUUCUAAUACAGGGGCCUAAUGACGGUACCUGAAGAAUAAGCACCGGCUAACUACGUGCCAGCAGCCGCGGUAAUACGUAGGGUGCAAGCGUUAAUCGGAAUUACUGGGCGUAAAGCGUGCGCAGGCGGUUUUGUAAGACUGUCGUGAAAUCCCCGGGCUCAACCUGGGAAUGGCGAUGGUGACUGCAAGGCUAGAGUUUGGCAGAGGGGGGUAGAAUUCCACGUGUAGCAGUGAAAUGCGUAGAUAUGUGGAGGAACACCGAUGGCGAAGGCAGCCCCCUGGGUCAAAACUGACGCUCAUGCACGAAAGCGUGGGGAGCAAACAGGAUUAGAUACCCUGGUAGUCC
Molecule: ribosomal RNA, 779 nt
Filed under: uncultured bacterium
Lineage: Bacteria
Description: bacterial SSU rRNA
Rfam family: Bacterial small subunit ribosomal RNA
Source: RNAcentral